This 399-nucleotide ribosomal RNA is filed under the name uncultured Trichosporonales. RNAcentral describes it as "eukaryotic LSU rRNA". It matches the Rfam family "Eukaryotic large subunit ribosomal RNA", at positions 271 to 667 of the family's 3401-position model. Lineage: Eukaryota; Fungi; Basidiomycota; Tremellomycetes. The record is from RNAcentral.
UGUUUGGGAAUGCAGCUCAAAAUGGGUGGUAAAUUCCAUCUAAAGCUAAAUAUUGGCGAGAGACCGAUAGCGAACAAGUACCGUGAGGGAAAGAUGAAAAGCACUUUGGAAAGAGAGUUAAACAGUACGUGAAAUUGUUGAAAGGGAAACGAUUGAAGUCAGUCGUGUUCAUUGGAUUCAGCCGGUCUUCGGUGUACUUCCUUUGAACGGGUCAACAUCAGUUUUGCCCGGUGGAUAAAGGCAGUAGGAAUGUGGCCUCUCCGGAGGUGUUAUAGCCUAUUGUCACAUACACUGGGGGAGACUGAGGACUGCAGCUCGCCUUUUGGCCGGGGUUCGCCCACGUUCGAGCUUAGGAUGUUGACAUAAUGGCUUUAAACGACCCGUCUUGAAACACGGACC